UGCCCGUCCCCCCAGAAGGUGCAACAGCGCUGCUAAUGCUCUCUUGCCCCGGAAUGGGCUUUGAACCCUGGUGUGCCGGGCAUAGUGACCCUGGGGUCAGACUUCCAGUGAUACCUAGCCCCCAGCUCCCACACCACAUUGGGGUUGGUGGACGUGAUGUUUUAGCUGCGUGGAAACUGUAGCCCAAGGAGCUGAAGUUACUCAUCCAAGGUCACGCGGCUGCAAGGGCUGAGGACCAGGUGUGUUAGGGAGAUGUUGUCAGGUUGGCUUUUUGUCAGCUUGAAACAAAUCUAGGCAUUAUCUCGGAAGAGAGCCUCCCAGUUGGGGAAUUGUCGCCAUCAGAUUGGCCUGUAGGCCGUCUGGGUGGGCAUUUUCUUGAUUAGUGAUUGAUGUGGGAGGUGCUACCCCUGGGUCCUAGGUGGUUUAAGAAAAGCAGGCUAAGAGCGGCGCCAUGGAGAGCAAGCCGGUCAAGCAGCGUUCCUCCGUGACCCCCCGCUUCAGUGCCUGUGUCCAGGUUGCUGCCCUGGCUUCCCUCCGUGGUGGGCAGGGCUGUGGAAGUGGAAGCCAAAUAAACCCUUUCCUCCACGAGUUGCUUUUGGUCCUGGUCACAGCGAUGGAACCAGAACCAGAAGCAGAGGAUCCCAAGACAGCAGCCCUUGGGCCCAGGCUCAUUCAAGCUGUCUCCUAAAGAAGCUUCUAGGAGAUGCAGCUCAGGGGAAGGGAAGGCUGAGAGUAAAGAUGUGGCAGGGAUGGCUCGCAGGAGUCUGAGAGGCGCCAGGAGUAUGGUGGUGAUGCUGAUAAAGUCAGACAGGGAAGGGAAGCCAAAACAUAGGAGUUCCUCGCACAUCUAGAGAAGAGCUUCAAAUUGCUUUUUUUUUUUUUUUUUAAGUCCAUGGUAAUGUGUGGUCUUGAGAUCAGGCACUCCCAACACUUGAGAGCUUGAGGCAGAAAAUCUCCAGCUCAAAUCCAGCCUGGGCUACAUAGUCAAAAGUAAAAACAAUAAAACAAAGAACAGAGAGCUCUUUGGAAUGGGGCCUUAUCAGAUGCCCGUCUGGUGUUGUCGAAAAGGAUUAACUCAAGGCGUUUGGCUUUCAUCGUCAGCCCUCUGCUCAGACUUGCUUGUGUUGGGCUCCACUUGUAGCACACGGCUCCUCACGGAGUCCUUCAGCUUCGCAGGUUGAGAAGGAAAGCAGCGACUCGUUCACCGCUCUGAGUAAUGGCCCCACCAUGCUGCCGGUCGUCCAGGGUUUGUCAAACUAUGGCCGUUGUGAUCGUCUGCUUUCUGCUGCCAUCACAGAGUGCCUGAGAGACGUCAGAGGAGGGACUUACGAUUUCAGAGGUUGUCAUGCACUGUUGCUUCACCUGGUGGCUGUGUGUUAUAUGCCUGUAGGAAAUCAAUGGGCUUUAAAGCUUGGGAAGCAGCUGGAGAGUGAAAUUGGACAGAUGCUGUGACACUUGGGGUCAUAAGUAAGAAGAACAGAGGCAAUGGAAAAGGGUACAACACAGUGGAAAAUGCAUUAGCCCUGACUCCGUGAUACACCACAUGACAAGAAGUGGCAGCUUCUAAUGACCUCUCCAAGUCCCAAGCCUCUCUAAGUCUGUUCAUCUGUAAAGAAAGGACAGUGUACCUACAUCACAACUUGAGUCUCUGUUACUCCUUCAUUGGUUUUGAAGAAGCAAGCUGCCAUGUACUGGGCUGCCUAUGGUGGGAGACCUCCAAGGCAAGGAACAGAGCUUGAAGGUAGUCUCCCUGACAGCCAACAAGAAACCUGAGCUGUCCAUCCUGCAGCUGGAGGAACUGAAUUCUACCAAAACCACAGGUGUACAGGGAAGCAGAUCCCUUCCCAACCAAACACAGAGGAGACUCCAGCCCUGGAAAUUGCCUCAAUCGAUUCCUGACCCACAGAACCCAGGUCACUGAUGUGCGGGUUAAGCCUCUGAGCCUGUGGUAAUUUGCUGCAUGCAGAAGUGCAUUCCUGACUGCUGUCUGUUUGUUUGUAACUCCAUGCUGCCUCCCUGUGGCAAUCCCCAGCCAGUAGCUAUGUGUGUCUGUGUGUGGUGCUUUUAGGUUUUUGUUUUAUUGUUGUUUGUUUUGUUUUGUUUUGUUUUGUUUUGUUUUUCUCCACGUGGCUCAUACCUUCUUAUGACAAUCAAUGUUAUGUGUUAACUUGAUGGCCCACAGGACGCCCACAUAACUGGUUGAGUAUUAUUCCUGAUGUGUCUAUGAGGGUAUUUCCUGACGAGACCAGUAUUUGGACUGAGGGAUUGACUGAAGCAUUUACUGUCUUGCCUGGGCAGCAUGCAUGCUGUUGAGGGUCGCAAGAGACCCAGAAGACAGGGGAAGGUUGCUUCUGCUCUCUGCUCUGCUGUCUGCAUUGGGACACUGAUGAUCUCCGUCCUUCAGUGUUCCUGCUCCUCAGACUUUCAGGUCUGGACUGAAAUCAACUCAGCUCUCAGGUUUGCAAGACUCUGAGAUCCACAAGUAGCUAACAUUCCUGUCUCUAGAUAUGACAUAACAGAGUGAGGAACUCUUCAGCAUCCAAGACCUUUAUCUAUCUAUCUAUCUAUCUAUCUAUCUAUCUAUCUAUCUAUCUAUCUAUCUAUCUAUCAUCUAUCUAUCUCUGUCUGUCUCUGUCUCUGUCUCUCUCUCUCUCUCUCUUUCUCUCUGUCUGUCUGUCUAGAACUAAGAUGAGGGGCCUGGCUUCACCCACCCUCAGCUAGCAUUGUGGCAGGCAUUCAGGAAGUAGAGGUGGAAUUUUAUCUUCUUUGAGGGCCUAACCUUUGCUGUGUGUAGCUGAGUUGUCCCUUGAUAUGACAGAAAAGACAAUGUCUACCCUGUUACUCACCUAUCCAUCUUUUCUAUUGAUUAUAUUCUCUGUAGAACCCUGAGACUUAGGGUUUAUAGUCAACAUUCCUAUCCAAAAUCCAUACUUUAUGGAAAAUAUUUAGCAUGUUUCCAGCACAGCCAGAGACCAUUCUCAUGGUUCUGAGAAGAACCACUAGCUGAGGAAAAGGCGUGGACCCAGGACUCUGUGGAUGAGUUGGCUUUCACAGCACUCUACUUGGUUUUCACAAAUCUCUGAGCUGGGAGCUAGUUUUAUAGAGUGGGCAUCAGAGCCCUGGAGAGGUUAGGUGGCUUAUCUUUUAUUACAUACAUCAUAUCAACUAAAUCCAAGCUCUCACUCAGUUCUUCCAACUGCAAACGGCUUAACCAACUAAGAAUCCCCUAUGCAUGUCCACAAGUUAAUAGAUUCUAUCAAAUCUAGCAGGCAAACUCACUCAGAAAAUUUUGGAGGUGUUGUGGGUGGGAGUCUGUCUGGUUCCCAUGCCUAUGCAUCACUGAGCUUCUAAUAUCACCUCAGAGGUGGAGAACCAAGAUGGGGGCAGGGCUGGCUUCACCCACCCUCAGCUAGUAGGUGGCAGGCAUUCAGGAAAUAGAGGUGGAAUUUUAUCUUCUUUGAGGGUCCAACCAUGACUGUGUGUAGCUGAGGUGUCUCUUGAUAUGACAGAGAGGAUAAAAAAAAAGUUGUGACAAUCACACUCUGAAACCAAAACAUCAUCUCAGGAGACCUGAUGGAAAAUGCAGGCUCCAGGGUCUCCCUCCCCAAGCCUCUGAAUCAGUACAGCCAGGAAGCAUUUUCAACAAGAUCCUCUGAUUGCUCUGAUACAAGUAGUCACAGACCACAUGAAUAUUAAUGGCAAAAAUCACAGUUUGUCUGUUCUCUGACAGGAGUUGUUCCUAAACAUCCCCACUCAUGUUUAUUGUCCUUUCUCCUCAUGGAGAGAAGAAGCCAAUGGUGUGCUGGCAAAUGUUUGAAAACUGAAUCUUUUUAACAACCCAAAGUGAAAAAAGAAAAAAAGUCCCUAUCUGUAGCAUUGGCUGGCAUCUACAGUAGAAGUUCAUACACCAAGGUUGAUAUAGCUACCACUGGACUGUCCCUUAACACCAGAGGCUCAUCCUUGCCCCUUGAAAAUUAGAAGGAGCUGGCUUCCCACUCACUGGAGGAAGUCCAGAUAGAAGCAAGGAUUUACCUCCCCUGGCCCCAGUUUCUUCACAGAGUGAGAAUUCGUGAAGGCCAAGUAUGCUUUCCUCAGAAUGGAUGUUACAGCUUAGUCUGUGGGUUAUGUACGGGGCUAGAGGAGUCUGCUUUAAGAUAGCAGAGCUGUCUGGAUAGGGUGGGUUAGCUCUGCUCAUUCCUCCUGUCUGAGGAAGGUGGGGUGCCCCCAGCCUUGGUAGACCAGCCAGGGUAUGAAGGGACAGUCCUACUUCACAUCUCCACCACACUUACCUCUGUGGGCUGCUGUGGAAUGGUCUGUAUGUCAAAUUACUCUGAUUGGUCAAUAAAUAAAACACUGAUUGGCCAGUAGCUAGGCAGGAAGUAUAGGCGGGACUAACAGAGAGGA
Peromyscus maniculatus bairdii (prairie deer mouse) is the source of this 4404-nucleotide non-coding RNA. NCBI's taxonomy places the organism in Eukaryota, Metazoa, Chordata, Mammalia, Rodentia, Cricetidae. The record is from RefSeq and is a predicted model, not a curated record.